This 653-nucleotide ribosomal RNA is filed under the name uncultured bacterium. RNAcentral's name for it is "bacterial SSU rRNA". It matches the Rfam family "Bacterial small subunit ribosomal RNA", at positions 232 to 885 of the family's 1533-position model. The record is from RNAcentral.
CGCGGCCUAUCAGCUUGUUGGCGGGGUAAUGGCCCACCAAGGCGACGACGGGUAGCUGGUCUGAGAGGAUGGCCAGCCACAUUGGGACUGAGAGACGGCCCAGACUCCUACGGGAGGCAGCAGUGGGGAAUCUUGCGCAAUGGUCUAACGACUGACGCAGCGACGCCGCGUGUGGGAGGACGCCUUUCGGGGUGUAAACCACUGUUGCCCGGGACGAGCAGCCCUUUUCGAGGGGUCUGACGGUACCGGGUGAGGAAGCACCGGCUAACUCCGUGCCAGCAGCCGCGGUAAUACGGAGGGUGCGAGCGUUGUCCGGAAUCAUUGGGCGUAAAGGGCGCGUAGGUGGCACGAUCAGCGUGCGGUGAAAGCUCGGGGCUCAACCCCGAGUCGGCCGUGCGAACUAUCGAGCUGGAGCACUGUAGAGGCAGGCGGAAUUCCGGGUGUAGCGGUGGAAUGCGUAGAGAUCCGGAAGAACACCGGUGGCGAAGGCGGCCUGCUGGGCAGUUGCUGACACUGAGGCGCGACAGCGUGGGGAGCAAACAGGAUUAGAUACCCUGGUAGUCCACGCCGUAAACGAUGGGCACUAGGCGCUUGGGGGAGCGACCCCCCGAGGGCCGGCGCUAACGCAUUAAGUGCCCCGCCUGGGAGUACGG